RNAcentral lists this ribosomal RNA (470 nucleotides) under uncultured bacterium. RNAcentral's name for it is "bacterial SSU rRNA". It matches the Rfam family "Bacterial small subunit ribosomal RNA", at positions 335 to 799 of the family's 1533-position model. The record is from RNAcentral.
ACUCCUACGGGAGGCAGCAGUGGGAAUAUUGCACAAUGGGCGCAAGCCUGAUGCAGCCAUGCCGCGUGUGUGAAGAAGGCCUUCGGGUUGUAAAGCACUUUCUAGUUGUGAGGAAGGUGGUGUCGUUAAUAGCGGCAUCAUUUGACGUUAGCAACAGAAGAAGCACCGGCUAACUCCGUGCCAGCAGCCGCGGUAAUACGGAGGUGCGAGCGUUAAUCGGAAUUACUGGGCGUAAAGCGCAUGCAGGUGGUUGUUAAGUCAGAUGUGAAAGCCCGGGGCUCAACCGUCGGAACUGCAUUUGAAACUGGCAGACUAGAGUACUGUAGAGGGGGUAGAAUUUCAGGUGUAGCGGUGAAAUGCGUAGAGAUCUGAAGGAAUACCGGUGGCGAAGGCGGCCCCUGGACAGAUACUGACACUCAGAUGCGAAAGCGUGGGAGCAAACAGGAUUAGAUACCCCUGGUAGCACAGAG